CCCUAGGAGGCCCCCUAAAUCCUUCCCACUCUCACUCACUUAGCCCUCUCACUCAAAGCCCUAGCCGUUGCAACUCACACGAUUUCCCUCCACACUCUAGCCCCACCAUCACGGACUGGCAACCUCUUCGUUGCAUAACCCACCAUUACAACCUCUUCCCUUUCCACAAUCCUUUGUAUUUCACAAUCCCUAAGAUUAACCCUACAAAAGAAAUGAUUACGGGAGACUCUACCACGGAUGAUACUAACGAGUCAACACAAGGGCAAGGCAUUCCUCCAAUCAGCCUUAGGUGUUUGAUUAUUCAUUUGUACACAGAAUUGGCUUCAUUAUUCUUCUACUCCAAUCAGUCUUAAGACUUUAAUGGAUGAGGUGGAGGAUUUACAGUGUAGUGUUUUGAUUUACGGUGUAGUGUUUGUGUUAUUUACAAGCAUUAUUUACUCAAUUCAGUUUGACAAGUGUUAUUUACAGCUGUUAUUUUUUACAUGUAAUCUAUCAUCUUGACAAGAGUUAUUAACUUAUUUACACAGUUCAGUUUGACAAGUGUUA
This is a long non-coding RNA of Carya illinoinensis, 546 nucleotides long. RefSeq lists it as uncharacterized. The transcript is spliced from 2 exons. Lineage: Eukaryota; Viridiplantae; Streptophyta; Magnoliopsida; Fagales; Juglandaceae. The record is from RefSeq and is a predicted model, not a curated record.